ACAUGAUAACUCGGUUCCGAGAACACUUUUUAAGACAUUUACUGUAGUCAAAGUUUAUUAUUUUUCCUGUAAACUACGUCAGAUAUAAUGCCACAAUGUGAAAGUUUUUUUUUGUUUUUUUGUAUUUCUUUCAAAAUGUUGUCAAAAUGACGGGUAUGACUACGGGUCUUCGGUCACCGGGAAGGUGACGACGACGAACUCCUUGCUCGCGACCACCUCCUCGAUGCCCUGCUCUUCUACGUGCCGAGGUCCUUGCUGGUGGCCUUGCCGGAUAAAAAUCCAAAACUUCUUUAUUCAGUAUUGCCGCCCCCGCCCCCGAAGUCGAGACACCGAAUGAUCCAAAAACCUAAGCUACUAGGACCCUAAAACCUAAAGCUAAAAUGAUCCACACACGCGGGAUCCGACGACCCUCCUCACCGCCGACGACCAAGAAGUCACCGGCAGAGGGGAAUCGCCGAAAGACGGCGCCAAAAGAGUCGGUUCUCUUAGCCAAAGAGAUAUGCACUUUAUUUUCAGCCGGUUACGACCUACUUAGAUGGUCAUGGACGUCGCACACAUGUACUCUGUUUUGAUUGGUUCAGAGGCAUGUCAUGCGGAUCAUGGAUCGAGCACCGUCCGAUCCACCCGGAUCCAACGGCAGCGCUCCCUCCUCACCUUCUCACCCCACCUAGCCCAACAACCCACAGGCCACAGCCCGCACUCCUCCCUCGUCCCCCGCGAACCCUAGCGCUCCCCGAUCCCUCCCACCUCCCCUCCCCUUGCCGCCACCCACCCCUCCCCUCGCUCUCCUCCCUCCCUCCCUCCCCAAGAUCCAGCGCGCUCCAAGAUCCCCAUGCUCUGCUCCUCCCCCCUCCCCUCCGGCAAGAUCCAGCGUGCGACCUCCCUCUCCUCAAUCCAGAUCGAGGCACCCCGCCGCCCCGCCUCCGUCUUCCUCCGUCUCCCACCCGAUGGAGGCCGCGGUGGGGGGAAGCGAGGGGCCAAACACCCGCUUCCAACACACAAGGUCUCGGCUUCCCCUCCCAUCACCGCACCACUCGUCCGCUAGCUCCCCACGCAGGCGGAUUCAGAUGGAGGCGGUCGUCGCUGGCGGGGGCAGCGGGCUGGGUACCAUGAGCGCCGUGCUCGCCAUCUGUCAGAACCGGGAUCUGACACCAUCCUCCAGUGGUGGGGAUUCAACAUUGCCGUCAUCAACAAGCGGGUAUUCUAGGAUGCCACCACGCUCCACUUCCUGACCAGAUUUGGUAAAGGUGCCGCCAGAUCUUGCCACACUGGGCAUCAGGACCGCUGGAUGCUUCUCUCACGGUGGUCAAGCCAAGCUCUCCUACGGUGGUCAGAACGGGCGUCGUCAACCCCGCCACUCCCUCUUCCCCAUGACUCCACCUCGACAACCUGGUAAG
Molecule: long non-coding RNA, 1397 nt
Organism: Aegilops tauschii subsp. strangulata
Lineage: Eukaryota; Viridiplantae; Streptophyta; Magnoliopsida; Poales; Poaceae
Source: RefSeq, a predicted model, not a curated record